RNAcentral lists this long non-coding RNA (3378 nucleotides) under Sus scrofa (pig). RNAcentral's name for it is "lncRNA (ENSSSCG00035068585.1)". Lineage: Eukaryota; Metazoa; Chordata; Mammalia; Artiodactyla; Suidae. The record is from RNAcentral.
GGAGGAGCUGCUACUCAAGAAAGAGGAAGAGGCGGGCUUUUCCGACCCCCACGCCCCUGGGAUGGUAAAGCUGCAGCCCACCUCGUCCUGGGGCAGAGUCUCCUUGCCUGCCUGCUUGCAUCGCUCACCAGCGUCCUAUCCUAACACCUCUGUUUCGUGCCCAUCACUUUGUCUCUCGCUGAAUUCCUUCUGCGUGGAGACAUAGAGAACCUCAACCUCAGUGAGUCCAGACGCAGGAGGAGAGCGUUUCCCAGACUCCUUGCCCCUGAGUGAGGAUACGUGCCUGGUUCUGGCCAAGGGGCUGUGGCUGAUACAGCAGGUGUCACUCUGAGUCAAAGCAAAGGAUGUGCAGACAUGAAGUCUCCACGCUCUCUCUUCUUCACCCCUUGUCUCAAGGUGUCAGAGGCACCAGCUUAUGAGGGAUGUAUGAUUGUCAGCACCUCCACUUUACGGAAGAGGACACCUGGGUAUGAUGAUAAGCUGCCCAAGGUCCCAUAUCUGGUGCUUCAUAAUCCUGGCAAAGCCACUAAGCUGAGCAGAGCUGCAGAAAUUCCCUGGCUUUCCUACUGGAAGAUGUCGAUCAAUGAGGGCGCUCGCGGCCUUUGAUGUCAGGCAUCCACGCCCGCUUCUGUAAAGACUUUCGGCUCCACAAGAGAACGGGAAGUCACUGUGAAGAAAGAGGCAGGCGAUGUAACCGGAAAAGCGCAGGUUUGAUGUCAAACAGACCUGCGUGGUUCCACCGCUUUCCGACUGUGUGACACCUCCCUCCCCCACCCCCGGCCCAGUUGCUCUCUGAACCCAAGUCUUGGAAAAUGGAACCAAUAAUACCUGUUCUUCAAGACUGUUUCUGCUGGAAGCUCCAAGAUUCAUCUGAAGGCGUGAUCACAUCCUCGAUGUUGAGUGGACCAUGAGCCGGCUGCCAGAGACAGGGUUCCAAGCCGGGCCAGGCCCAUCCCAAUGCCCACCCGAAAAGACGGGACAGGGGAAAGAAACAAAAUCCUGGGGCUCCAUUGGCUUUCUUUUUGACUCCAGCUGAAGUUGCUGCAUAGUGUGGCCUUGCCAGUCCUCGCCUUGAAAAGGCUGGAAGCGACUGCCGUGAUGGAUCAUCUAAUCCCACAGCCUCAUUCUGCAGAGGACCCCGAGCCUCGACUUGGCCAAGGUCACACAGCUGGGCCACACCCAUGGCGUAUGGUUUUCAUAUGGAAUUGGAGCUGCAGUUGCCGGCCUGUGCCACAGCCACAGCAAGGUAGGAUCUGAGCCAAGUCUUUGACCUACACCACAUCUCACGGCAAUUCCAGAUCCCUGGACCCACUGAGUGAGGUAAGGGAUUGAACACGCACCCUUAUGGAUACUAGUUGGAUCACAACGGAACUCCCUGAAAAAUCAAGGUCUUUAAAGCAAUUCAUCAACCCCACCAACAUCUUGGCAUAAGAAAAUUGAUUCUGUAAGUCAAAAGAACUUAUAACAUGGUAUAUUGGGAGGAUGGCAGGGCUUGGUAAGUGGUAGCAACGCAGCUGGUAGAUUUUUCUUUGUUGUGUCCUUGUCCUUACGCUCUUUUUAGCCACAUUUUCAUUCAGGAUUCUUGGGUUGGAAGCAACAGAAAUGGACUCUUUUGGCCUUAAGCAAAAAGAAAAUUUGUUGAAAGGGCAUGGAGGAAUUCAUAGGAUUGACUAGAAGUUUGGAGAAGUAGGCUCAGGAGUCAAGGCAUUUAUGGAGGAGGGUAGGGUAGAGAGGUGAUAAAAAUAAUGCAACGGUCUUAUUUGGAAAUUGUACUGGAAUGUAAGAGUUUCAUCUUUCCUCCUCCCUCCCUCUCUCUCUCUUUCUGCCACUUCAUUCGAGAUUCCAAUUUCAGCGAAGGAGCAUCCAAUUGGCCUGUCUUGGUCAGAUUCCCACCACCCCCAUGGUUAGGGGAACACAGCAUAUUCGAAAUGGCAUUCCCACGAGGUACAUUCCAUGGAAAAGUAAUACCACAAAGAAAAUACGGACACAGUUAUCAAAGGAAGAUAAAACAGGUGCUGGGUAGCCAACAAUAGCCUAUUUCCACUAUAUCCUUUAAAAAAAAUCCCAGUAACUCUUCUAUGAUUACCGAUGUUUCAGGAGAGAAAUUUAACGAUGGAAGAGUGUAUACAUAGUGAUGAAAAGAAUGGGAGGAUUUAUAAGAUACAAGUCAUUUUCUUUGAGUUGUGGGACAAUGGUUGGGUCCAUUUUUCUUCUGUUGUUUUUUCCUAUAGAGCACAUUUAUAACCUUUUAAAAGUAAACUAUAUUUUCUACUUUAAGAUGAGUGAAAUGAGGGGGGAGUGUCCUUUUGACUGGGGACAUAGUCACUAGUUACUCUAUGUUAAUAACAGAAGCAUACGUUCCUCUCGAGGGGCAACAGUGUUCUUAUACAUUAAACUCUCAACAGAAACCAAAAGAACCACCACCAAAAAAAUCCCACCCAGUUUGGAAAGGACUUGUGCUUGUGGGUCGGGGGCAGAAGGAAGCAAUUUCCCUCCAUUUUCUGCCUGAGCAGGCCUUUUGCACUUUGAUAUUCGUUUCACUAAUAAGGUGUUUCAUUAUUUCUCCCACAAAAAGAGCUGGUGCUGUUAUGAGAUGCUGUUGAAGACUCUGGUUUGCCCAGAUGUGCCGCAGUGAAAACAGCCUUUCUCUGACGUGCAUGACUUGUGAGGAUGAUGGGACCUGUGGGAAGAGGGGAUCCUUUUUCAGAGUUUGGAAAGAGAGACAAAAUAACGCCAUCUGCCCUGCAUGGCUGACAGAAACACGUUCUUCCCUAAUCAGUGGGUCACUCACUUCCGCACUAUGUUGCAGGGAAGCAUCAUCUGAUUCCAAGCCUAAGGCUGGGUCAUCCGCGGCACUGACUUCUCCCGACCCUUCUCCGAGCUUCCCGUGCCAGUUUUCAUCAUCAAAUUUCUCUGCUCCCUUAGACCAGCGGAAAAGAAGUUAUGAGCUCUCUCCAUCAUUCGCCGGUCUCUUCGGCCCUUCCUCCUUUGAAGUUUUCUUAUUCGGGGUCUUUUUUCGCUUCUUCUCCAUGUUUCAUCCUCUCUCACUGUAACCUUUUUAUCUCUGGAGAGUUCUCUCUGUGCCUCUGGGCCCUUCUCUUUCUAGUUGGUUCUCAGAACCCAUUCUGGGAUUCUAUUUCAGUCCAUCCGUCUCUCCAACAGACCACGGGUGAAACCAGGGCCGGUAAUCAGUCCCAGCUGCUGGAGGCGUCCGCUCUGGGUCGGCCCCACGUUUGUGGGCUGAUGUUUUGCUUCCCAUAAUGCUCUGGGAGUUCUGCUGCUCAGAGCUUGGCUUGUGCUUUUUCUUCUCCUGCCAAGGGGCCCUGCUUCCAAAACCCAGAUUAGAAAACAUGGGACGUUAAAAAAAAAAAAAAAAAA